AUGCCUGCCAGCAGCACCGAGCCGACGAAGCACAUUACCCUGCACAACUUCCUGAAGCAGCAGCAGCUGCUGCAGCACCGCCUCAAGCCCACUGCCGUGCUCUGGGGCUGGCCGGCGACGCCGCGCCCGGCGCCGGACGACGCGGCGGACGACGCCGACGGCAUGGGCGGCGGGGCGUGGCCGCCGCGCUCGUACACGUGCGCCUUCUGCCGCCGCGAGUUCCGGUCCGCGCAGGCGCUGGGCGGGCACAUGAACGUGCACCGCCGCGACCGCGCCAAGCUGCGCGGCCAGUUCGGCGCCGCGGCCGCGCAGCUGGGCGCGGCGGCCGUCUCCGAGGCGCCCGCCACCGCCGCGGCGACGACCGAGUACGCGCUGCUGUACCCCGUGCUCAACUCCACCGCCGCCGGCGCGCGGGCCGUGUUCAUCCCCAGCGGCGACGUGCUGCUCUCCACGCCCGUGGCAAUGGCGCACGGCCACCGGUGCCAGCAGAGCGACGACGAGAACGACACGGACAUUGACCUGGAGCUGCGCCUCGGGUGGCCGUGA
Molecule: ribosomal RNA, 546 nt
Filed under: Triticum aestivum (bread wheat)
Lineage: Eukaryota; Viridiplantae; Streptophyta; Magnoliopsida; Poales; Poaceae
Description: partial small subunit ribosomal RNA
Source: RNAcentral